GAUGAACGCUGGCGGCGUGCCUAAUACAUGCAAGUCGAGCGAACAGAUGAGGAGCUUGCUCCUCUGACGUUAGCGGCGGACGGGUGAGUAACACGUGGAUAACCUACCUAUAAGACUGGGAUAACUUCGGGAAACCGGAGCUAAUACCGGAUAAUAUAUUGAACCGCAUGGUUCAAUAGUGAAAGACGGUUUUGCUGUCACUUAUAGAUGGAUCCGCGCCGCAUUAGCUAGUUGGUAAGGUAACGGCUUACCAAGGCAACGAUGCGUAGCCGACCUGAGAGGGUGAUCGCCACACCUGAACCUGAGCACCGGCCCAGAUCCUUACGGGAGGCAGCGGUAGGAAAUCUUCCGAAAGGGGCGAAAGCCUGCGGGAGCAACGCGGCGUGAGUGAUGAAGGUCUUCGGAUCGUAAACCCCUUUUAUAAGGGAAGAACAAAUGUGUAAGUACCUAUGCCCGUCUUGACGGUACCAAAUAAGAAAGCCACGGCUAACUACGU
This 496-nucleotide ribosomal RNA is filed under the name uncultured bacterium. Its description in RNAcentral is "partial 16S ribosomal RNA". It matches the Rfam family "Bacterial small subunit ribosomal RNA", at positions 28 to 506 of the family's 1533-position model. The record is from RNAcentral.